RNAcentral lists this ribosomal RNA (372 nucleotides) under uncultured Acidobacteriota bacterium. RNAcentral's name for it is "bacterial SSU rRNA". It matches the Rfam family "Bacterial small subunit ribosomal RNA", at positions 383 to 763 of the family's 1533-position model. Lineage: Bacteria; Pseudomonadati; Acidobacteriota. The record is from RNAcentral.
CUGACGCAGCGACGCCGCGUGAGUGAUGAAGGUCUUCGGAUCGUAAAGCUCUUUCGAGCGGGAAGAUUAUCCCCGUGGCUAAUAUCCCGCGGCUUGACGGUACCGCUCAGGACGCCCGGUUACCUCCGUGCCAGCAGCCGCGGUAAACGGGGGGUGCAAGCGUUGUUUGGAAUUAUUGGGCGUAAAGGGCGUGUAGGCGGCUGGUCAAGUCCGAUGUGAAAUUCUGGGCUUAACCCCGGAAUGCAUUUGAACUGUCCUGCUUGAAAUGGNAAGANAAAGUGCAAUUUCGGUGUANGCUGAAUUCCACAAAACAGAANUGCACCCGNCUCAACUCACUUCUGUCCCGUUUUGGACCUAAUAUCCUUNACUGGU